UCUCCCUCCGCACACACGCCGCACGCUCCACACCCCGCCGUGGCCGGCUCGCCGCCCUCCCUUUCCUCUUCCGUCCGGCCUCCCCGCCCUUGGUCCACCCCCUCUGCGCGCUCGCCCACCCCGCCCAGCCCGGAUCUCUGUCAGCGGCCGGAAGGGAAACGCGAAGCCAGCGCGGCCGCGGGGGGAGUCCGUGUUGGAGUGCAAUGACGUGAUCUCGGCUCACCGCAACCUUUGCCUCGUGGGUUCAAGCAAUUCUCUUGCCUCAGCCUCUCAAGUAGCUGCGAAUACAGCUGUGCGCCACCACGCCUGGCUAAUUUUUGUAUUAUUAGUAGAGACGGGGGUUUCACCAUGUUGGCCGUGCUAGUCUCAAACUCCCGACAUCAGGUGACCCACCCACCUUGGCCUCCCAAAGUGCUGGGAUUACAGGCAUGAGCAACUGCGCCCAGCCUAGACGGAGUCUCGCUCUGUCACCCAAGCUGGAAUGCCGUGGCGCGAUCUUAGUUCACUGCAACCUCUGCCUCCUGGGUCCAAGCCAUUCUCCUGCC
Molecule: non-coding RNA, 545 nt
Filed under: Pan troglodytes (chimpanzee)
Lineage: Eukaryota; Metazoa; Chordata; Mammalia; Primates; Hominidae
Source: RNAcentral